This 77-nucleotide transfer RNA is filed under the name Methanobacteriota archaeon. RNAcentral describes it as "Euryarchaeota archaeon tRNA-Met". It matches the Rfam family "tRNA". Rfam says of the family: Transfer RNA (tRNA) molecules are approximately 80 nucleotides in length. Their secondary structure includes four short double-helical elements and three loops (D, anti-codon, and T loops). Lineage: Archaea; Methanobacteriati; Methanobacteriota. The record is from RNAcentral.
GCCGGGAUAGCUCAGGUGGUCAGAGCGCUGGACUCAUAAUCCAGAGGUCGCGGGUUCAAAGCCCGCUCCCGGCACCA